CUUACAGUGGCAUGCGAAUCUGCAGCGAGCGUCGAGGGGUUUGCGGGAAGUCGUCCAAAGUCGACAGUACUAUGCGCAACGGAAGGCGGAAGGGACGAGUUCGUCUUUCGUGUGCUUGUUGCAGCCGAUGCCGAUGAGCACCGAGACCCUGGCGGAGAAGAGCUGCACCGCCACUCCAGCUGCCUGUUCUCUUGACUCUGUUUACGGGAUCAGUCUCGUGGAUGUGAACGAGAACGUUUGGUCUAGAUUGCCCGCGAUUCCAGGUUUUCCUGGGGGAUUACCCACGUAUUGCCGGCUUGUCGCGUUGAAAGGAGUGCUAGUGGUUCUGGGUGGGUGGUGGCAGAGCACCUGGGAGCCGUCGAAGUCGGUCUUUGUGUUCAAUUUCAGCACACAGACAUGGAGGCAGGGCGCCGACAUGACCAAUGUUCGUAAUUUCUUUGCAUGCGGAGCUACUGGAAGCAAAGUGUAUGUCGCGGGGGGACAUGAUGGCAGCA
RNAcentral lists this long non-coding RNA (494 nucleotides) under Physcomitrium patens. RNAcentral's name for it is "long non-coding RNA (PPAT_LNC002047)". The record is from RNAcentral. Lineage: Eukaryota; Viridiplantae; Streptophyta; Bryopsida; Funariales; Funariaceae.